RNAcentral lists this ribosomal RNA (1027 nucleotides) under Cyathicula cyathoidea. Its description in RNAcentral is "SSU rRNA". It matches the Rfam family "Eukaryotic small subunit ribosomal RNA", at positions 69 to 1105 of the family's 1831-position model. The record is from RNAcentral. Lineage: Eukaryota; Fungi; Ascomycota; Leotiomycetes; Helotiales; Helotiaceae.
GCAUCUAUACAGUGAAACUGCGAAUGGCUCAUUAAAUCAGUUAUCGUUUAUUUGAUAGUACCUUACUACUUGGAUAACCGUGGUAAUUCUAGAGCUAAUACAUGCUAAAAACCUCGACUUCGGAAGGGGUGUAUUUAUUAGAUAAAAAACCAAUGCCCUUCGGGGCUCCUUGGUGAUUCAUAAUAACUUAACGAAUCGCAUGGCCUUGUGCCGGCGAUGGUUCAUUCAAAUUUCUGCCCUAUCAACUUUCGAUGGUAGGAUAGUGGCCUACCAUGGUUUCAACGGGUAACGGGGAAUUAGGGUUCUAUUCCGGAGAGGGAGCCUGAGAAACGGCUACCACAUCCAAGGAAGGCAGCAGGCGCGCAAAUUACCCAAUCCCGACACGGGGAGGUAGUGACAAUAAAUACUGAUACAGGGCUCUUUUGGGUCUUGUAAUUGGAAUGAGUACAAUUUAAAUCCCUUAACGAGGAACAAUUGGAGGGCAAGUCUGGUGCCAGCAGCCGCGGUAAUUCCAGCUCCAAUAGCGUAUAUUAAAGUUGUUGCAGUUAAAAAGCUCGUAGUUGAACCUUGGGCCUGGUUGGCCGGUCCGCCUCACCGCGUGCACUGGUCCGACCGGGUCUUUCCUUCUGGGGAGCCGCAUGCCCUUCACUGGGUGUGUCGGGGAACCAGGACUUUUACUUUGAAAAAAUUAGAGUGUUCAAAGCAGGCCUAUGCUCGAAUACAUUAGCAUGGAAUAAUAGAAUAGGACGUGUGGUUCUAUUUUGUUGGUUUCUAGGACCGCCGUAAUGAUUAAUAGGGAUAGUCGGGGGCAUCAGUAUUCCAUUGUCAGAGGUGAAAUUCUUGGAUUUAUGGAAGACUAACUACUGCGAAAGCAUUUGCCAAGGAUGUUUUCAUUAAUCAGUGAACGAAAGUUAGGGGAUCGAAGACGAUCAGAUACCGUCGUAGUCUUAACCAUAAACUAUGCCGACUAGGGAUCGGGCGAUGUUAUCUUUUUGACUCGCUCGGCACCUUACGAGAAAUCAAAGUC